This 23-nucleotide microRNA is filed under the name Drosophila melanogaster (fruit fly). RNAcentral's name for it is "piRNA piR-dme-1386541". The record is from RNAcentral. Lineage: Eukaryota; Metazoa; Arthropoda; Insecta; Diptera; Drosophilidae. RNAcentral also lists the same sequence under 1 other name.
UAUUGCACAUUCCCCAGCCUGAA